UACGUAGGGUGCGAGCGUUGUCCGGAAUUACUGGGCGUAAAGAGCUCGUAGGUGGUUUGUCGCGUUGUCCGUGAAAACUCACAGCUUAACUGUGGGCGUGCGGGCGAUACGGGCAGACUGGAGUACUGCAGGGGAGAAUGGAAUUCCCGGUGUAGCGGUGAAAUGCGCAGAUAUCAGGAGGAACACCGGUGGCGAAGGCGGUUCUCUGGGCAUUACCUGACGCUGAGGAGCGAAAGUGUGGGGAGCGAACAGG
RNAcentral lists this ribosomal RNA (253 nucleotides) under uncultured bacterium. RNAcentral describes it as "partial 16S ribosomal RNA". It matches the Rfam family "Bacterial small subunit ribosomal RNA", at positions 524 to 776 of the family's 1533-position model. The record is from RNAcentral.